RNAcentral lists this transfer RNA (72 nucleotides) under Vibrio pectenicida. RNAcentral describes it as "tRNA-Trp". It matches the Rfam family "tRNA". From Rfam's summary of the family: Transfer RNA (tRNA) molecules are approximately 80 nucleotides in length. Their secondary structure includes four short double-helical elements and three loops (D, anti-codon, and T loops). Lineage: Bacteria; Pseudomonadati; Pseudomonadota; Gammaproteobacteria; Vibrionales; Vibrionaceae. The record is from RNAcentral. RNAcentral also lists the same sequence under 1 other name.
UGUAGCUCCAAUUGGCAGAGCAGCGGAUUCCAAAUCCGCGUGUUGGGAGUUCGAAUCUCUCCACCCCUGCCA